GAAGAGAUAGCUCACUCGGUAGAGCAUGAGACUCUUAAUCUCAGCGUCUUGACUUCAAGCCACUUGUUGGGUCUUCGAUUUCUGC
Podarcis lilfordi (Lilford's wall lizard) is the source of this 85-nucleotide non-coding RNA. The record is from the annotation of a GenBank genome assembly. NCBI's taxonomy places the organism in Eukaryota, Metazoa, Chordata, Lepidosauria, Squamata, Lacertidae.